This 325-nucleotide ribosomal RNA is filed under the name uncultured bacterium. RNAcentral describes it as "bacterial SSU rRNA". It matches the Rfam family "Bacterial small subunit ribosomal RNA", at positions 534 to 858 of the family's 1533-position model. The record is from RNAcentral.
GCGAGCGUUGUUCGGAAUUAUUGGGCGUAAAGAGCGCGCAGGCGGUCCUUUAAGUCUGUGUGAAAACCCCCGGGUCAACCCCGGGGGGUCACUGGAAACUGGGNGACUUGAGUGCAGGAGAGGAAAGUGGAAUUCCCCGUGUAGCGGUGAAAUGCGUAGAGAUNUGGAGGAACACCAGUGGCGAAGGCGGCUUUCUGGUCUGUAACUGACGCUGAGGCGCGAAAGCGUGGGGAGCAAACAGGAUUAGAUACCCCGGUAGUCCACGCCCUAAACGAUGAGUGCUAAGUGUUAGGGGGUUUCNUCCCNUCAGUGCCGCAGCUAACNC